Molecule: long non-coding RNA, 5060 nt
Filed under: Sus scrofa (pig)
Lineage: Eukaryota; Metazoa; Chordata; Mammalia; Artiodactyla; Suidae
Description: lncRNA (ENSSSCG00000053964.1)
Source: RNAcentral
UUUUUUUUUUUUUUUUUUUUUUUUUGGUCUUUUUGCCUUUUCUAGGGCUGCUCCCGCAGCAUAUGGAGGUUCCCAGGCUAGGGGUCUAAUUGGAGCUGUAGCCGCUGGCUUAUGCCAGAGCCACAGCAAUGCCAGAUCCAAGCUGCGUCUGAGACCUACACCACAGUUCACAGCAAUGCCAGGUCCUUAACCCACUGAGCAAGGGCUGGGAUCAAACCCGCAACCUCAUGGUUCCUAGUCGGAUUCAUUAACCACUGCGCCAUGACGGGAACUCUGAGAAGAUCUUUUUGAGUUCAGUCUUUUUGAGGACCUUUGAGCUUCAUGAUCUUGGAUGUCCACAUUUCUCUACAAAUUUGGGAAGUUCUCAGCCAUGAUUUCUUUAAUUUUUCUGUCUCUUCCUCCAUCUAUUCUCCUUAUAGUAGUCCAGUAAUUUAUAGAUUUUUUAAAAUUGUAACCCAUAAUUCAUAUAGGCUUUCUUCACUCUUUUUUUUAAAUUCUCUUUUAUUUGUUCUCCUUAGCUGAAUAAUUUCAAAUGACCUGAAUUGAUUUAAUAGUUUCUUUCUUCUACUUGAUCAAGUCUGCUGUUCCUGCUUUCUAUUGCUUUUUUUUUUCCAUUUCAUUCAUUGUACUGUUCAGCUCCAGACUUUCUGUUUGAUUCUUUUUUUACGAUUUCUGUAUCUCUGUUAAACUUCUCAUUUUCUUUGUGUAUUGUUUUCCUAUUUUCAUUAAAUUGUCUUUCUUUCUUUCUUUUUUUUUCUUGUAGCACACUGAGCUUCCUGAAGACAACUAUUUUUAGUUCUUUAUUGGGAAAAUUGUAGAUCUUCAUUUCUUUAGAGUUGGUUACUAUAAAAUACUAUGUGCAUUUGGUGAUGUCAUUUUUCCCUUGUUUUUUCACAUUCCUUGAGGUAUUGUUUUGCUGUCUUUGCAUUUGAAGAAGCAGUCACCUCCUGCAAUCUCUACUGACUGUGUUCAGGAGAGAAAUACCUUCUGCCAGCCCUGCUAAAUAGUCUUAGGCUCACUCAUACAUUUUCUAUAGGUACACAUGCUCCACACUUCUUCUUCCCUCUUGUAUGGGAGAGAAAGGAUUCCUAAGAUGGUAUUCUUUCUCUUGCUCCUGAAAAGGCUGACCGAGUGCUGACAGCCUCCGUUUGCUUUCCUUAGGGCAGUGCUGAAUGAUCAUGUUUUUAUGCUUUCUCCCAGUUUCAUAGAGUUGGGGCAGCUUUCUGUACAUUCUCACUAGCUGACUUGUGCCCUCAGGGGCACAAAUGGUGUCAGCCAUGUGGAGAUGCUGGUGGUGGUGUGUGUGGGUGAACUGUACAGAGCAUUGGGGCUGUCUGUGGGCCUGUUGGUGGGAUCUAUAGAUAAGGCAUCCCCAGUAACUUGUAGCUGAACUUCCUGAUGGACUGGUAUUGCUGUUAGUAGGAUCCAUAUCCUUUUCUGUCCUCGAAGAGCUCUGGCUGCUCUUUUUCCAAACCCAACUGUGGGGACCCCUCAGUUGAGCAGCACAUCUCAGUCUUCCGAAUGGAGCAAGAAGGAGGUGGGGCUCUCUGGCUGCAUCAUAUACAGUUGGAGAAGCUGGCACUCACAUGCUCUCACUGGCAUAGAAGGUCUCUCUUAGCACUUGCUCCUUGGAAAUACACUUGGAACUCUGCUGGAAAAAUGCUACCCUUCUCUUUUCUCUAUAAUAUUGAUAUACCUGUCACAUUCAGGCAGGGCCUAUGAUUAAUCUUAAUGUGCAGGUGUUCCUAACUGAGGCCUGAGGUUUGAAUUUGCUUCAUUCUAUGCCGUCUGUUUUAAUUUUGAUUAAUUGCCAUCAGGAAUAAUAACUCCUCAGGGAAGAUCAUUAGGAAGCUACAAAAUCGAUUAUGUUUAGCCACAGACUAUGUAAAACUAGUCACCACCGCUGAAAUGAUCAUAGAUACCCUUUAUGUUGCAGGCACAUGGAAUUCUAAGGUAAUUCCAACUGGAUUUCAGAAACAAAUUAAAAAGGAAUUGGAAAUGAUUUUUCAUGAAUAACUUAGCUUUCAAAUUUGCCCUUUCUUUUCCCCCAGUAGAUUUUCUUAAUUCUGCCAUGAAAAUCAGUAACCACAGCAGGUAGUCAUGGUUGGUAGGAAUAAAUAUGCUUUAGGUAUAUGUGAGGGAACAUCCUCAGUACAUUUUGCAGUAAUUAAUUGGAAGACUCAUGCGCCCCCAGUAAAUAAGAAAGGAACCAAGAUUACUUGCUGUCCUCUACCUGAGACCACUGCCUUAGUUGAAAUACUUUGUGGCUAAUGCACUAGCCUCCUAACUUCCUUAACUUCUAGUGUAGUUUCUUCUUGGUCCACUCCUACUUGACUCUUUGCUCUUUUUUAUUUUUAUUUUAUUUUAUUUUAUUUUAUUUUAUUUUAUUUUAUUUUUGCUUUUUAGGGCUGCAGCCGAGGCAUGUGGAAGUUCCCAGGCUAGGGGUCGAAUCGGAACUAUAGCUGCUGGCCUACACCACAGCCACAGCAAUGUAGGAUCCUUAACCCACUGAGAGAGGACAGGGAUUGAACCCACAACCUCAUGGUUUCUAGUUGGAUUCAUUUCUGCUGUGCCACAGUGGGAACUCCCUCUUUGCUCUUUUUUAAAUAGAGCACACUAGCUCCUCCUUUUGCACAUGGCUCUCACUAUCCCUGGAACACCCUUCUUCCUCUUUUUCAUCUGGCUACCUCUCUUCAUACUUAGGACUUUUCUAUGUUUUCUGCCUCACUCCCCUUAAGUGGCUCUUCUGUGUGUCCCAUUGCACCAUGGACCCUUUUUACACAACUGAUAUCAUAUUUAUUGUCAGUAAAUAUCCUCCUCUUCUGAUAAAGGAAAAUUUGUCUUGUGUCUCUGCAGCCCUGGCUCAGUGGAUCCUAGCUCUUUUUGCUUCACACACUUCUUUGAGAAUCUGAUGAAAAGUGUAAACUUCCUCUCUGGACAGAGUAGUUUAAAUUUUGCAAAUAAUUUCAAGGAGUUCUGGGACACUCUAAGUCCGUCUGUGGACCCUAGGAUUUCAUGGACCCCUGGCUAAGAAUCCCUACUCUAGCUCCUGAAUACAUCAAAAUAGUUACCAUUUAACAGGUGCUUAUCACUAUUCUGAGCACUUCACAUGAGCUGCUCCAUUUAUUCCUUACAACGCUAUAAGGUCAAUACUGUGAUCAUCCCCAGUUUAGCGAUGAGGAAACCGAAGAACAGCAUGAAAGUCAUUUGGCUGAGGCUGUUCCUGAGUCUGCUGUGUUAACUCCAACACUAAAUCACCUCUCCGCCUCACUCUGGUCCUGUUCAUAAACAUUACUGCAUCCAUGUCUCUUGAAUGAACUAUAGAAUGAAGGAAAGUAAUGCCACUAUGGACCAGGAACUAUGAAUAAGGUUAAAAUCAUGCAGAAAAGAAAGAGGCUUAGCAUUCGAAUGGUUUGUAAAGACUAUGAGGAUUUUCAGUGGAGUCAAUAGCAUAGGGGAUAAGCUACAUCCAUUCCGUGCGCUUUAAGGAGAAGGGGUAGAAAGGCAAAGAACUUAAUACAUGCCCAACACUGAGUUCGUACUUCCUAAAGAGAGUACAUCACACAACAGCACUGUAAGACCUGGGAAGAGAGGUGAAUUUCGACUCCUGUAUUGACUCUGAGGGAGGACUGAAUGGGAAAAUACAAAGUUCCUGUUCUUUAAAGCAAGCAUUAAGAAAGCACAGUUAGUAACAGCCUCCCGGUUGGCUCUCUGUGACAUUAAGGAAUGGAAGUUUUACUCUAGAAUGAUAGAAGGGCUGAGGGUUAAGGAGGGAGGGGUGGGGUCAGUUUUUUUCUUUUAAUAAAGAUAAACCUUUCAAGUCUUUUAUGAUAGGAAAGAAUUUUGCAAUUACAGGUACAUGUGAAUAGGACCUUCACUCAAGUAUGCCCAUACACACUUCUGCUCUGGUUUCAAAAAGGCAGGAAAGGAAGGUGGGAAAGGGAAAAGAAGAAGGGAGACCAAUAUGUGAUUAUCACAUGCCAGUAUUUCCAUUAACUGAUUCCAAAUAGACACUGUCAGCUGAUCUAUCCCUUGUUCCUUCGAUGGCUGAUGGUUCAGUGGUCAAAUGUCAGGCACUUGGUUGGGAUAAGGCCCCAAAGGAGAAGCAGCAGCAGGGAGACUUUUCAUGCUCUAGGAAACUUGCAGUCUUCUUCAGAAUCUUAUGAGAAUACUACAUUAGCAGUUAUAAUCAUUCUCCACCGACAAUUUAACCACACUUGAGAAAAGGCACUUGGUAUCGUUCAUUCCCUACGGUUACUAAGGCUGAUCUUGCUGUAUUCUGUAUGUCUGAGUCAGGAGAUCUGUCUGCAGGUAUGCUUUAAAUGACUUCUAGCCUAUGUGUAGAGCUGGCUCAGGUCUGGACAGGGCCAGUGUAUACCCAUGAGGCUCUUGAGGAUAUGCACCUAUGUGCCAGGUAGGGUGGGGCAUUCCACGUCAAUCCCAGAGAUCAAGGAUGGGUAACAUUGGUUGUUGUUCAAGUUUGUGUCCUCACUGUUUGUGGACAUCUUCAGUAGUCAAAGAGCUUACAACUCCAUCUCUCAAAUUGUGGAUGUGGGGAAUACUUUUCCUAUCAGUCAUUUUUAUUGGCUUUGCACUUAUUCGUAUCACUGACUCUUGGUAUCUCCGUUUCUCAGUGUCAAUGUAUUUGGGUUAAGGAGGAUGAUAUAAAGAACAAAGACCAGACUUUUGGAACUAAAUUUGGGGACAUUUUCAUUUUUUAUAAUAUAAAAAAUAUUGUCUUUAAAUGUUUUUAGCAAGCUAUUUAAAGAUAUUUGGUUGGAAAUGUGUUAACAUUUUUCUAAUACUAGCUUGAAUACUCUUUAUAACUCAGCUGUCUUAAACUACCAGCAAUAUGGAACUCUUACUUUGAAAUACAGUCAUUUUCUCCAACAAAUCAUCAGAAGAGGGCUAAAUCAAGCCAGCUUUCCAGUGAGUUAUAAUAAUGGAGACUCUAAUUAUCCAGUCUGCAUCUCAAGUUGAGUUGUAAUUCAUUAAAAUUCUUUUUUGCCCCUUUUCAGUUGGAUGCAUUUCAGCAUUCUAAAUUCUGAUCUCUUCCUGUU